UCACACACCGCCCGUCCGCUUCAUCGAAGUUAGUUUUAGGCGAGGUGGUGCGAUAUUGGCAUUAUCGAACCUGAGAUCAGCAACGAGGGAG
This 91-nucleotide ribosomal RNA is filed under the name uncultured bacterium. Its description in RNAcentral is "partial 16S ribosomal RNA". The record is from RNAcentral.